GCCUGGGUGGCUCAGUCGGUUGGGCAUCUGACUUUGGCUCAGAUCAUGAUCUCACAGUUUGUGAGUUUGAGCCCCACAUCGGGCU
Molecule: transfer RNA, 85 nt
Filed under: Felis catus (domestic cat)
Lineage: Eukaryota; Metazoa; Chordata; Mammalia; Carnivora; Felidae
Also listed under: 3 other names
Rfam family: tRNA
About the family: Transfer RNA (tRNA) molecules are approximately 80 nucleotides in length. Their secondary structure includes four short double-helical elements and three loops (D, anti-codon, and T loops). Further hydrogen bonds mediate the characteristic L-shaped molecular structure. tRNAs have two regions of fundamental functional importance: the anti-codon, which is responsible for specific mRNA codon recognition, and the 3' end, to which the tRNAs corresponding amino acid is attached (by aminoacyl-tRNA synthetases). tRNAs cope with the degeneracy of the genetic code in two manners: having more than one tRNA (with a specific anti-codon) for a particular amino acid; and 'wobble' base-pairing, i.e. permitting non-standard base-pairing at the 3rd anti-codon position.
Source: Rfam by way of RNAcentral